GUUGGUAGAGCAGUUGACUUUUAAUCAAUUGGUCGCAGGUUCGAAUCCUGCACGACCCACCAAUUUCAGCAUUUAACUCAGAUGCUGAACGUGAAGGAUAACGUUGCGUCAGCAACGGCCCGAAGGGCGAGGCAAAGCCGAGUCAUCCUGCACGACCUACCA
RNAcentral lists this small RNA (162 nucleotides) under Klebsiella pneumoniae. Its description in RNAcentral is "partial RtT sRNA". It matches the Rfam family "RtT RNA". Rfam says of the family: This family represents a bacterial cis-regulatory element known as RtT RNA. The exact function of RtT is unknown although it is thought that it may be involved in changing the cellular response in relation to amino acid starvation. The record is from RNAcentral. Lineage: Bacteria; Pseudomonadati; Pseudomonadota; Gammaproteobacteria; Enterobacterales; Enterobacteriaceae.